RNAcentral lists this long non-coding RNA (328 nucleotides) under Androctonus crassicauda. Lineage: Eukaryota; Metazoa; Arthropoda; Arachnida; Scorpiones; Buthidae. The record is from RNAcentral.
CUUCCAUGUUUCUUUCUUUCUCUCUCUCUCUCUCUCUCACACACACACAAAGAAAAACCUCUCGUAAAAAGAAGAAGAAAAAAAAAGAAAGUAAAUGCGUAGAUAUGAAAAGUUUACAAUUUUUCUUAAGCAGAACUUUUGUCGAGACAACCGAAAAUAUGGUACUGGUGAAAAUUUCCUUACUUGACCGUUUCAUCGAUUUUUGGUCUUAAGAGACGCCAAAAAUUAUUGAUUUCACAUUUAUGUCGUCACCCCCUCACUGGCCGAUAAUGAAAUUACUUAAAGGAAAGUACACAAAUAUAAAAAAAAAGAGUAAACUAAAAAAAUU